GAUGAAGAACGCAGCGAAAUGCGAUACGUAAUGUGAAUUGCAGAAUUCAGUGAAUCAUCGAAUCUUUGAACGCAUAUUGCGCUCUCUGGUAUUCCGGAGAGCAUGCUUGUUUGAGUAUCAGUAAACACCUCAACUUCCAUAUCUUUUUUGAAAUGGGAGUUGGACUUGAGUGAUCCCAACGCUUUUCCUCACCGAAAAGUGGCGGGUUACUUGAAAUGCAGGUGCAGCUGGACUUUUCUCUGAGCUAUAAGCAUAUCUAUUUAGUCUGCCUAAAAAACAGAUUAUUCCCUGUGCUGCCGCUAACAUAAAGGAGAUUAGUUCUUGUGCUGACUGAUGCAGGAUUCACAAAGACGGCUUCGGCCGACUUUGUAAACUCGAUCUCAAAUCAAGUAAGACUACCCGCUGAACUUAAGCAUAUCAAUAAGCGGAGGA
RNAcentral lists this unclassified non-coding RNA (432 nucleotides) under soil metagenome. RNAcentral describes it as "partial contains 5.8S ribosomal RNA, internal transcribed spacer 2, and large subunit ribosomal RNA". The stretch from base 1 to 120 matches the Rfam family "5.8S ribosomal RNA", at positions 35 to 154 of the family's 154-position model. The record is from RNAcentral.